AGACCCGAAACCCGGUGAUCUAGCCAUGGGCAGGUUGAAGGUUGGGUAACACUAACUGGAGGACCGAACCGACUAAUGUUGAAAAAUUAGCGGAUGACCUGUGGCUGGGGGUGAAAGGCCAAUCAAACCGGGAGAUAGCUGGUUCUCCCCGAAAGCUAUUUAGGUAGCGCCUCGUGAAUUCAUCUCCGGGGGUAGAGCACUGUUUCGGCUAGGGGGCCAUCCCGGCUUACCAACCCGAUGCAAACUGCGAAUACCGGAGAAUGUUAUCACGGGAGACACACGGCGGGUGCUAACGUCCGUCGUGAAGAGGGAAACAACCCAGACCGCCAGCUAAGGUCCCAAAGUCAUGGUUAAGUGGGAAACGAUGUGGGAAGGCCCAGACAGCCAGGAUGUUGGCUUAGAAGCAGCCAUCAUUUAAAGAAAGCGUAAUAGCUCACUGGUCGAGUCGGCCUGCGCGGAAGAUGUAACGGGGCUAAACCAUGCACCGAAGCUGCGGCAGCGAACGUAUCACCCAAGACAACUUUACGGAGUUGACGAUUGACGGAGCGAAGCGACGUCAAAGCGUUCAUUAAAGUCGAGUUGGCUUAGGGAUACGUUCGUUGGGUAGGGGAGCGUUCUGUAAGCCUGUGAAGGUGUGUCGUGAGGCAUGCUGGAGGUAUCAGAAGUGCGAAUGCUGACAUAAGUAACGAUAAAGCGGGUGAAAAGCCCGCUCGCCGGAAGACCAAGGGUUCCUGUCCAACGUUAAUCGGGGCAGGGUGAGUCGACCCCUAAGGCGAGGCCGAAAGGCGUAGUCGAUGGGAAACGGGUUAAUAUUCCCGUACUUGGUGUUACUGCGAAGGGGGGACGGAGAAGGCUAUGUUGGCCGGGCGACGGUUGUCCCGGUUUAAGCGUGUAGGUGUGUGUUCCAGGUAAAUCCGGUUCACUUUAACACUGAGGCGUGACGACGAGGCACUACGGUGCUGAAGCAACAAAUGCCCUGCUUCCAGGAAAAGCCUCUAAGCAUCAGGUAACACGAAAUCGUACCCCAAACCGACACAGGUGGUCAGGUAGAGAAU
This 1055-nucleotide ribosomal RNA is filed under the name Salmonella enterica. Its description in RNAcentral is "partial 23S ribosomal RNA". It matches the Rfam family "Bacterial large subunit ribosomal RNA", at positions 711 to 1679 of the family's 2925-position model. RNAcentral also lists the same sequence under 1 other name. Lineage: Bacteria; Pseudomonadati; Pseudomonadota; Gammaproteobacteria; Enterobacterales; Enterobacteriaceae. The record is from RNAcentral.